This is a long non-coding RNA of Drosophila novamexicana, 1494 nucleotides long. RefSeq lists it as uncharacterized. The record is from RefSeq and is a predicted model, not a curated record. NCBI's taxonomy places the organism in Eukaryota, Metazoa, Arthropoda, Insecta, Diptera, Drosophilidae. The transcript has 3 exons.
CAGCAGACACGACGAACACGAAACGAUUGAGAUACGAGUUGAAUGUGACGAGAAACUACAUUCAUACGGCUUUAAAUGUAAGGGAAUAUUUAACUGUACUCCUUUAUUAUCGUUUCUCAGGGGCUAGUCUCAUCCCUAGACCACAGUCCUCACAAUCGAUAUCAACUUGCUACAUUGAACAUCUGAAGCCAACACUAUAGCAGAACGAACUACAAAAAGGAACAGCUGGAACUACGAAUAAAUGAACAAUAUUAACAGUUCGAACUACAAAAAAAAUGAAAACAGCAAAAUCGGGUCCCGAUUCCGGAUCAAGGCGUACCCGCCCCUAACAGUGAUGUUGCAAUUGCAAUUAUCCGCAGCGGCGAUUUUUGUGGGGUAGGUUAUCGGAAGUUAAAUCGAGCACAUAAGGGCGCCCAUCGCCCGUCUUACGAUCAACUGAACUAAGCGAGGAAAAGCUGAAGAGCGUUUGCGAUCGGCCACCCGAUUAGCUCAGAGCUCAGAGAGAGAGAGAGAGAUAAGGUAGAGUAGAAGAAGGAGAGAGCGAAUCGGAUGCCCUUUGAAAUGUCUUUGACGCACAAAUGCAGCUGCGCAUAUGUGCAGCAGCGGCGACCACAAUUUACAGCGUAUGCUUGUGCCAAAUAUUCGGCAUCGAGCAAAAAUUUAAAUAAAUCGAUAGUUGUAGUUUAUUUGAUAUAUAAUUACUGUUCAGGAAGGUACAUUUCAAGUUUGGUGACUCUAGCUCUUAAAAAUUUAGAGAUUUGCUCAAAAAAUAGGAUUGCGAUAUCGAUUUUUAUCGAUCGCGUGGAAAUGGGAAAAGUUAUCGAAAUUCGGAAGCAAACUCGUACUGCACAUGCAAUAGGCAAAAGCUUUUUUGUAAAACGGUAUCAUUCGCCUAUCUAGGUCGCCGUGCAACCAUCCGAUCUGGGUAGUAAGUAAAAAGGCAUUGAUAACUCAGGUGAGAAGUGCCUGGUCGUAGAUUUCAGAAAACGCAAUCUAUCAAAACGCGAGAAGAUAAGAUAUCGGGAAGAAUUUUAACGUCUACUUCGAUAUUAUCGAAAAAUGUUAUGGAUAUUGGCGAGGCUUUAAGAAACAUCCAGGACGUCAACUGUCGACCCUAUAAUGCCGUACGCGCACCCAAUAUCACGGCACAGCCAGUUAAUAGCAGGUGAAAACCGCGCAGGACCUCCUUCCACGGCCAUUGCCUCUGCUGGAACUCCAAUCGUUACACAAGGUUCUCGAAGGAGUUUAUGGCGUCCUUGCCAUUGACGUUCAACAGUUCGAGUUACAGGUACACACUUUACCGUACGUUGGCAUACGCUCCAUCCAGCUGGAAGUUAUCCUCUCUUCGGUCCUUUACCCUGAAGUUACUACUAUUGAGAUUGCGCAGCCCGCUGCUGUGAUUUCGGUGGCACCGGCUUUGAAAACGAUCUGACCUUUCACGCUCCUUCGGAAUGGUGAAGAGCUAUGGUAGGGGGAAAUUUCGACCUAUGUCCA